AUGGCGCCGGCGAGGUCGCUCCUGCUGUCCUGCGUCGCUCUUCUCCUCGUCCUGCCCUCCCGCGCCGCCGCCGCCGGCACCGCCGAUGGGUCGGAAGAGUGGGGAUACAUGCAAGUCCGACCCAAGGCGCACAUGUUCUGGUGGCUGUACCGUAGCCCCCACCGUGUCGACAACGGCACAGCGCCAUGGCCGACCGUGCUGUGGCUGCAGGGCGGCCCAGGCGCGUCGGGGGUCGGUUACGGCAACUUCAUGGAGAUCGGGCCGCUUGACACGGACCUCAAGCCCCGCGCCACCACCUGGCUCAACAAGGCCGACCUCCUCUUCGUCGACAACCCCGUGGGCACGGGGUUCAGCUUCGUGGAGGGCGGCAACAAGAGCCUGAUGGCGCGCACGGACGGCCAGGCGGCGCGCGACCUGACGGCGCUACUCAUCAAGCUCUACCGGCACAACAAGCCGCUGCAGGGGAGCCCGCUCUACAUCGUGGCCGAGUCGUACGGCGGCAAGUUCGCCGUCACCACCGCCCUCACCGCGCUCAAGGCCAUCCGACAUGGACACCUCAGGGCCAAGCUUGGAGGUGUGGCCCUGGGGGAUAGCUGGAUUUCACCAGAGGACUCCGUGUUGUCAUGGGGCCCGUUGCUAUACCAACUGUCCCGUAUCGACGAGAAGGGGCUGCAGCAAUGCGACAGCCUGGCGAAUAAGAUCAAGGCGCAGCUCAAGGCGAAGCAGUACGCGGCGGCGGAGAAGUCGUGGGAGGACCUCGAGUCGGCCGUGCUCGAGCAGAGCAACUCCGUGAACUUCUACAACAUCCUCAAGGACGAGUCGUCGGAGGACGCUGCGGUGCUGGCGACCGCGGGGGCGGCGGUGAGGAAGGUGGGCUACACGAGGUACCUGAGCUCCAAGGCGACGAGGGAAGGCGGCCUCGACGGCCUCAUGAACGCCGAGGUCAAGGCCAAGCUGGGCAUCAUCCCCAACAACUUCACCUGGGGAGAGCAGUCCGGCGACGUGUUCGAAGCCCUCGCAGGCGACUUCAUGAAGCCAAGAAUCAACGAGGUUGACCAACUCCUCAGACUUGGCGUGGAGGUGACCAUCUACAGCGGACAGCUCGAUCUCAUCUGCGCAACCAAGGGAACACUGGACUGGGUCCAGAAGCUCAAGUGGGAAGGCCUGAAGAAUUUCACAGGGUCGCCCAGAAAGCCGCUCUACUGCAAGGGGGGUGAAGGUGAAGGUGAAGGUGAAGCAGCCGGCACCCAGGCCUUCCUCAAGUCGUACAAGAACCUGAAAUUCUACUGGAUACUCGGGGCUGGCCACAUGAUACCGAUCGACAACCCUUGCCCUGCACUCAACAUGCUGGGUGACAUUACACAAUCUCCUGCUCGGUAG
RNAcentral lists this ribosomal RNA (1380 nucleotides) under Triticum aestivum (bread wheat). RNAcentral's name for it is "partial small subunit ribosomal RNA". Lineage: Eukaryota; Viridiplantae; Streptophyta; Magnoliopsida; Poales; Poaceae. The record is from RNAcentral.